RNAcentral lists this ribosomal RNA (441 nucleotides) under uncultured bacterium. RNAcentral's name for it is "partial 16S ribosomal RNA". It matches the Rfam family "Bacterial small subunit ribosomal RNA", at positions 338 to 795 of the family's 1533-position model. The record is from RNAcentral.
CCUACGGGAGGUAGCAGUGGGGAAUAUUGCACAAUGGGGGAAACCCUGAUGCAGCAACGCCGCGUGAGUGAAGAAGUAUUUCGGUAUGUAAAGCUCUAUCAGCAGGGAAGAAGAAAGACGGUACCUGACUAAGAAGCCCCGGCUAACUACGUGCCAGCAGCCGCGGUAAUACGUAGGGGGCAAGCUUUGUCCGGAUUUACUGGGUGUAAAGGGCGUGUAGCCGGGUUGACAAGUCAGAUGUGAAAUCCUGCGGCCUAACCGCAGAACUGCAGUUGAAACUGGUGAUCUUGAGUACUGGAGAGGCAGACGGAAUUCGUAGUGUAGCGGUGAAAUGCGUAGAUAUUGGGAGGAACACCAGUGGCGAAGGCGGUCUGCUGGACAGAAACUGACGGUGAGGCGCGAAAGCGUGGGGAGCAAACAGGAUUAGAUACCCGGGUAGUC